This 200-nucleotide ribosomal RNA is filed under the name uncultured eukaryote. RNAcentral describes it as "partial 18S ribosomal RNA". It matches the Rfam family "Eukaryotic small subunit ribosomal RNA", at positions 589 to 812 of the family's 1831-position model. The record is from RNAcentral.
CUCCAAUAGUGUAUCUUAAUGUUGUUGCAGUUAAAAAGCUCGUAGUUGAAUUUCUGUGGCUCUGACCACCUUGGGUGCGGACUGGAGUCACAUCCGCGUUGUAACCAGGUCGUUUCGCAAGAUCACUUGGUGGAAGGCGCAUUUUACUUUGAAGAAAUUAGAGUGUUCCAGGCAGGCCUUGCUUGAAUAUUACAGCAUGG